Molecule: long non-coding RNA, 1214 nt
Filed under: Pan troglodytes (chimpanzee)
Lineage: Eukaryota; Metazoa; Chordata; Mammalia; Primates; Hominidae
Description: long non-coding RNA NONPTRT013960
Source: RNAcentral
AGAGUAAAGGGAAACACCCACACUGGGUGUGAUGUGGGCUUUGCUGACCUAACAAAACAAACCAAUGGAGGGGCCUUUGGAAAACGUAACCAAGAGACCCUGGAAAUUUAAACACGCAGAAGCAGGGCAGGCGCGGUGCCUCACACCGGUAAUCCCAGAACUUUCAGAGGCCAAGCAAGAGGAUCACUUGAGGUCAGGAGUUCGAGACCAGCCUGGCCAUCAUGAUGAAACCCUGUCUCUACUAAAAAUACAAAAAUUAGCCGGGCGUGGUGGCGCACACCUGUAAUCCCAGGUACGUGGGAAGCUGAGGCAGGAGAUUCACUUGAACCCCGGAGGCGGAGGUUGCAGUGAGCAGAGAUUGCGCCACUGCACUCCAGUCUGAGUGACAGAGCAAGACUCGGUCUCAAAAACAAACACGAACACGCAGAAGCAGAAUCCCAUCAGGACAGGAGUGCAGUAUUUUAAAUUGAGCACGUAUUUGGGCCUAAUUAAGUCCAAGAGCUGUCUGACAUUUAAACUGCCCUUCUGCAACAAUUAAAACAACACACUUUGUGUGUUUUCACUGUCAUCUCAAGAGCCGCCAAGGCCAUAAAGGUGAACUUCAGGUGAUAGUAAGUGGAAGAGAAGAAUUAAGAAAAAGAAUUAUGGCAGCUUGCACUGCCUCAAGUCACCACUGCACCAAAGCUGUCCAGGCCUUCUUUAAGGUUUUCACUGCCACUAAUCAUGAUAAGCUUGGAGACCAGGCUCCAAUGAGGUUCCCACCUCAGUCUUUGCACACACUGUUCCCUCUAACUCCUCUUUCCCCUAGACACCAUCUCUGCUCAAACGUCACCUGCUCUCUAAAUGACCAUCCUAUUUAUAAUUUCAGCCCUAAAUGUCUGAAUGCCUACAUUACCCUUGCUCAGCUCCAGGUUCUGUAGGCUUGGACAAGAGGAGACAGAAAAGCCUCCCAGGGAAGGUGCCCUUAAACCAGGAGCCUGCAGACAGUGAGGGAGUGACCCACGCUGCCGUCGGGGAGACUGGACACCGUCAUGUGAAAAGCAGUCCGUCUCCCAGUUUCCUAGGUCUUAGCUAGCCGCUCUUCCUCUGCAAGUUCUUCUCCUCACUAAAAGGCUAGGACUCUCAAAGGCAGGGACUGCCGGAUUCAGUUUUGAGUCUGCUAAAGUACCUAGCGGGAGCACAGUAGGUCUGCGGUAAACACUUUGGCAAUGACU